GUUAAGGCCGAAACCAGCCUGGGCUUGAAUCCCAGCUCUUUCCUCACAGUUGUGUGACCCAGGGGUAGGGCAUGAUCCGACCCCUGGGAGCCUCAGUUUCUUCAUCUGUGCGUGUGUGUUGCUAUAAUCACACGGCGCGGGGUUGCUCUGCGGCUGAAAGAGCUCCUGCACUUGAAUGGCAGCUCCACAAAGGCUGGGACCUGGUCUGUCUUGUUCAUCAGUGUAGCCCCUUGGUGUAAAAUAGAGCUUGGCACAUUGCAGUCACACAACAAAUAUUGGUGGAGUGGGUCCCGUGUGGCAGCGGCAAGUGCGGCUUCCUCACUCUGAGCCUUUCCUCACCGGGAACUCUCUUUAUGACAAUUCCUGCAUAUCAGGUGGUCUUGUCUCCUCGCCCAGGCUCAGUUCCAUCUGGCUGGCCAUGGUCACUGCCUCUCUUAGGAUGGAUUCCCCAAGAAGCCGACUUGCGGACCCUCUUGGCACACUGGAAGCCCUGACUGUGCCCAGGGCCCCACCUCACUGGUGUGCACAGGACCUGUCUGCUGGCCCACGGCUCAGGGCAUUUGCACUUCUGUGGGAGCUUUGCAGUCUUACUGGCCCACACUCCAGGAGCCCAGAAUCACCUCCCGAAUAAAUCUCAGGGGCAGCUCCUGGGGAACCACUUGAAGAGGAAGACGGCCAGGACGUCCUCCCUGAAGCCUGCCCAGCAGCCUGCCUCUUCCUCCCAGCCUUCCUCACAUGGUGCCCGCCCCACGCCCUUCUGGCUCUGGAGCCUCCAGCUCUCAUGCAAGCAGCAGAGGAAGACAACAUGCUCCGUGUCCCGUCCUCCGGUUCUCUCUGCUCCUGGGGGUCUUACAUCUCAUGCUGGGAGCCAAUGAUUCAUUCAUUCACCCUUUGGCGAAAUCCCUAGGACAUCAACCUGUCUUCCAGCAGCCUAACCUGGUGCCCAAAGCUGUCACUGACUCGUCCCAGCUUGCGCCCGAGCCAACCCGGCCUGGGCCAGUUAGAUCCCAGGGAGAAACGCGGCACAUCAGAAGGUCAGAGAGUUCAUUCAAAAUCAGCAAAAAUAAAAUUUAAUGGUGUGCCGCA
Leptonychotes weddellii (Weddell seal) is the source of this 1086-nucleotide non-coding RNA. The record is from RefSeq and is a predicted model, not a curated record. Lineage: Eukaryota; Metazoa; Chordata; Mammalia; Carnivora; Phocidae.